This 94-nucleotide transfer RNA is filed under the name Cryptomonas curvata. RNAcentral's name for it is "tRNA-Val". The record is from RNAcentral. Lineage: Eukaryota; Cryptophyceae; Cryptomonadales; Cryptomonadaceae.
ACCGGUUUAGCUCAGUUGGUUAGGUGAAACUACAGCGUCAGUUUAACAUGCUGAAGGUCACAAGUUCGAAUGUAACAAUACCUUGUAACCGGUA